UUCCGGUUGAUCCUGCCGGAGAUCACUGCUAUUGGGGUUCGACUAAGCCAUGCGAGUCCUCGUGGUAAUGCUGAGCAAACGGCUCAGUAACACGUGGAUAAUCUGCCCUCAGGACAGGGAUAACCCCGGAAAACUGGGGAUAAUACCUGAUAGGUGGAGAUAUCUGGAAUGAUUCUCCGCUCAAAAGGUUAGGCGCCUGAGGAUGAGUCUGCGACCGAUUAGGUUGUUGGCGGUGUAAUGGACCACCAAGCCAAAGAUCGGUACGGGCGUUGAGAGACGGUGCCCGGAGAUGGGGACUGAGACACGGCCCCAGGCCCUACGGGGCGCAGCAGGCGCGAAAACUCCGCAAUACACGAAAGUGUGACGGGGGAACCCCAAGUGCACUCACGCAAGGAGUGCUUUUGUGAAGUGUAAAUAGCUUCACGAAUAAAAGCGGGGCAAGAUCUGGUGUCAGCCGCCGCGGUAAUACCAGCCCCCUGAGUGGUAAGGACGAUUAUUUGGCCUAAAGCGUCCGUAGCCGGUUUAGCAAGUCUUUUGUUAAAUCCAACGAUUCAAUCGUUGGGCCGCAAAAGAUACUGUUAUGCUAGAGGACGGGAGAGGUCGACGGUAGUCCAGGGGUAGGGGUGAAAUCCUAUAAUCCUUGGAGGACCACCAGUGGCGAAGGCGGUCGACUAGAACGUGCCUGACGGUGAGGGACGAAAGCGGGGGGAGCGAACCGGAUUAGAUACCCGGGUAGUCCCAGCUGUAAACGAUGCGGGCUAGGUGUUGGGGCAGCCACGAGCUGCCCCAGUGCCGCAGAGAAGUUGUUAAGCCCGCCGCCUGGGGAGUACGGUCGCAAGGCUGAAACUUAAAGGAAUUGGCGGGGGAGCACCACAAGGGGUGAAGGCUGCGGUUUAAUUGGAUUCAACGCCGGA
This 914-nucleotide ribosomal RNA is filed under the name uncultured archaeon. RNAcentral's name for it is "partial 16S ribosomal RNA". It matches the Rfam family "Archaeal small subunit ribosomal RNA", at positions 1 to 922 of the family's 1478-position model. The record is from RNAcentral.